This 580-nucleotide ribosomal RNA is filed under the name Ceroplastes sinoiae. RNAcentral describes it as "eukaryotic LSU rRNA". It matches the Rfam family "Eukaryotic large subunit ribosomal RNA", at positions 492 to 861 of the family's 3401-position model. Lineage: Eukaryota; Metazoa; Arthropoda; Insecta; Hemiptera; Coccidae. The record is from RNAcentral.
GCCAUUUUGUCGAUGCUAAGGGACGCGUCGCAGUUCGCCAGCGCCGUCGUCUCGGCGACGGCGCGACGAUGACGCGUUUCCGUUGUUUUCGACGCGGACGGUAGCUUUGCGCGCGGGUAUUCGACGCGGCCCACUCGCUCGGCGCCUCCGUGCGUCGAGUGGCGCUCGCGUCGACGCCGGUCAGCGACGAAUCUUCGGGCCUCUUUCCGACCCGUCUUGAAACACGGACCAAGGAGUCUAGCGUGCGCGCGAGUCGCGGGGUAUCCGAGCCGUCGUAGUCGUUUCGCGCGGCGAACGCGGCUCGUCACGAUACGAAACCCGUGUACGUACGUUGUGCGAAGGCAUAAUGAAAGUGAAAGGCGGCGCUUCGCGCGUCGCCGGGGGAAGAUAGUGUUCCGAGUUCACGUAUCGCGGUCGCACGUGUACCGCGACCGGACACUCGCAUUCCCAGGGCGUCUCGCUCGUACGGCCGUGGCCGGGGUUCGCUUCGGUCGCGGACGAACUGAGGCGCACCUACAGCGUGCACGCUGGUACCCGAAAGAUGGUGAACUAUGCCCGGCCAGGAUGAAGUCAGGGGAAA